CCUCCCWCCSUWKGUGAACCURCSKMUGKUGCYUUGGCKGGCMGCGGUCCCCGGCCGCCCCCCUCCCCGGGGGGUGGCCAGCGCCCGCCAGAGGACCAUCAAACUCCAGUCAGUAAACGAUGCAGUCUGAAAAACAUUUAAUAAACUAAAACUUUCAACAACGGAUCUCUUGGUUCUGGCAUCGAUGAAGAACGCAGCGAAAUGCGAUAAGUAAUGUGAAUUGCAGAAUUCAGUGAAUCAUCGAAUCUUUGAACGCACAUUGCGCCCUUUGGUAUUCCGAAGGGCAUGCCUGUUCGAGCGUCAUUACAACCCUCAAGCUCUGCUUGGUAUUGGGCACCGUCCUUUGCGGGCGCGCCUCAAAGACCUCGGCGGUGGCGUCUUGCCUCAAGCGUAGUAGAACAUACAUCUCGCUUCGGAGCGCAGGGCGUCGCCCGCCGGACGAACCUUCUGAACUUUUCUCAAGGUUGACCUCGGAUCAGGUAGGKAUWYYMGMUGAWCUUAAGCAUAUCAAUAAG
This 515-nucleotide ribosomal RNA is filed under the name Botryosphaeria berengeriana. RNAcentral's name for it is "eukaryotic LSU rRNA". The stretch from base 150 to 303 matches the Rfam family "5.8S ribosomal RNA". Lineage: Eukaryota; Fungi; Ascomycota; Dothideomycetes; Botryosphaeriales; Botryosphaeriaceae. The record is from RNAcentral.